Molecule: ribosomal RNA, 440 nt
Filed under: uncultured bacterium
Lineage: Bacteria
Description: partial 16S ribosomal RNA
Rfam family: Bacterial small subunit ribosomal RNA
Source: RNAcentral
CCUACGGGAGGCAGCAGUAGGGAAUAUUGCUCAAUGGGGGAAACCCUGAAGCAGCAACGCCGCGUGGGGGAUGAAGGUUUUAGGAUUGUAAACUCCCUUUGUGAGAGAAGAUAAUGACGGUAUCUCUCGAAUAAGCACCGGCUAACUCCGUGCCAGCAGCCGCGGUCAUACGGAGGGUGCAAGCGUUAGCCGGAAUCACUGGGCGUAAAGGGUGCGCAGGCGGGCUUGUAAGUCAGAUGUGAAAGCCUGUAGCUUAACUACAGAACUGCAUUUGAAACUAUGAGUCUAGAGUGUGGGAGAGGUAGGUGGAAUUCUUGGUGUAGGGGUAAAAUCCGUAGAUAUCAAGAGGAAUACUCAUUGCGAAGGCGACCUACUGGAACAUUACUGACGCUCAUGCACGAAAGCGUGGGGAGCAAACAGGAUUAGAUACCCCGGUAGUC